Prunus mume (Japanese apricot) is the source of this 1467-nucleotide non-coding RNA. The record is from RefSeq and is a predicted model, not a curated record. NCBI's taxonomy places the organism in Eukaryota, Viridiplantae, Streptophyta, Magnoliopsida, Rosales, Rosaceae.
UCUCUGUUUGGGUGAUUCUGUUGUUUUGGGCCCGAGAAAAUCAAAGAAAAGAAGAAAAAGUUGGAGGGAGGGAGGGAGGGAGGGAGGGCGACGAAAGAUGGAGGAGAGAGCAAAGUGCUUGGCAUUGCUCGGAGCCGGAGCUCUGGUAGGCUCUGUUUCCACCAUCUUUCUAUUGAAGCUUCGAGCGAGGGUGCAGUUACUGGGAAUGGAAAUAGUAGGAUGGCUGGUCUGGACCUUCUAAGUGAUGAGAUAGUUUCUGAACAAUUAAAGAGGAACAUUCAAUUCUUUGGACUUGAGCCUCAACAAAAAGUGACUGCAUCCUAUGUUGUGGUCAUUGGUCUUGGUGGAGUUGGAAGUCAUGCUGCAUCUAUGCUUUUGCGAUCAGGGAUUGGCAAGCUCCUCCUUGUGGACUUUGAUCAGGUAUCAGUUUCAUCACUUAAUCGACAUGCUGUUGCAACAAGAGCAGAUGUUGGUAUCCCAAAAGCACAGUGUCUGAAAGAGCAUUUCUUGUCAAUAUUCCCAGAGUGCCAGAUAGAAGCGAAAGUUCUAUUAUACGAUGCUUCAACAGAAGAGGAAAUUCUUUCAGGUCAUCCUGAUUUUGUUUUAGACUGUAUUGAUAACAUAGAUACAAAGGUGGCACUUCUUGCUGCGUGUGUACGUAGGGGUUUGAAGGUACUAUCGGCAACAGGAGCUGGUGCUAGAGCUGACCCCACCAGAAUACGCAUUGCUGAUUUAAGACAAUCAACAAAUGACCCAUUAUCACGAGCUGUAAGACACCGUUUGAGGAGGGAUCAUGGCAUUGAAGGUGGCAUUACUGUUGUAUUUUCAUUAGAGAAACCUAAGGCAAAGCUUCUUCCAUUUAAAGGACCAAGUGGAGAAGAAGAAAACCCUUCAGAUUAUCAGAUACUACCGGGGUUUAGGGUUCGCAUAAUACCUGUUCUGGGUACCAUCCCUGCAAUAUUUGGACAGGUCAUGGCCUCCUAUGUUUUGACACAACUGGCAGGAUUGCAAGUUCAAACGGAACCUAUUGUAAAUUUGGAUAUUGACCAUUACCGGAUGCUUCACCAACGCCUUAUUGAGCAUGAGGAGUCAUUGUACGGCACUGCCUUGCAAGUCCAGGUAGAUGUCGAGGAAGUGAUGUUUGUUGUAAAAGAGUUGUGGCAUGGAAGAAGUGCAAGAGAACCGUUUGCUAAAGAUGUUGGGCGUGGUAUGUGGCGAUCGGUAAAUGAGUUAAUGCUUGUGAGGUGGGACCAGGAAAAGCCAGCAUCUGUGGCCAACCUAAUUCUUCUGAAAUUUAAAGAGGCAGAAGAACAUGAAUCGAGAAUGCUUGAGGAUAUUAAAGAAAGAGAACCAGAAUAUUUUGUUAGAGUGACAUCUAUUCUGAAGCGGGCUGAACUAGAAUUUGGCUUGUAAAGGUUGAUUUUAAACCUUUUCAUUCUUGUUUUUGUUUUCAGAGGUGUAUCGAUA